UUAGUGGAGGACGGGUGAGUAACGCGUGAGAAUCUGACUCUAGGUCGGGGACAACAAUUGGAAACGAUUGCUAAUACCCGAUGUGCAGCAAUGUGAAAGAUUUUUGCCUAGAGAUGAGCUCGCGUCUGAUUAGCUAGUAGGUGUGGUAAUGGCGCACCUAGGCGACGAUCAGUAACUGGUCUGAGAGGAUGACCAGUCACACUGGGACUGAGACACGGCCCAGACUCCUACGGGAGGCAGCAGUGGGGAAUUUUCCGCAAUGGGCGAAAGCCUGACGGAGCAAUACCGCGUGAGGGACGAAGGCUUUUGGGUCGUAAACCUCUUUUCCCUGAGACGAAGAUCUGACGGUAUCAGGGGAAUCAAGCAUCGGCUAACUUCGUGCCAGCAGCCGCGGUAAUACGAGGGAUGCAAGCGUUAUCCGGAAUUAUUGGGC
RNAcentral lists this ribosomal RNA (433 nucleotides) under uncultured cyanobacterium. Its description in RNAcentral is "bacterial SSU rRNA". It matches the Rfam family "Bacterial small subunit ribosomal RNA", at positions 92 to 559 of the family's 1533-position model. The record is from RNAcentral. Lineage: Bacteria; Bacillati; Cyanobacteriota.